UUACAUCGAGAAAAGAACAACAAAAUGAGAAAUCGUUACCCAAGUAGAUUAAUUUCAUAAAUUAAUGAAUAGUGAAAAGAAAAUAUUUAUAAAUUCAUGUCUAUUUAAGCUCUAUUAGAACAUAUAUUCUAGCAUCAUAAAAAAUGUUGGAAAUCGGUUUAAAAAAAAGCUUCCAUUUUUGUCGAAAUCCCCAAAUUCGACACUAUAAAGGUUUUACCACAUGAACAUCCAUGUUUAUCAUCCCAUGUAGAGAAUGUUCUACGUUGUUCCUCGGGACAGGAGAAGAAUGUGGCACAGAUCGGAGGAUCCCUCUUUGAGUUGCUUGGAUAAAAGCAAGAGGAAGGAGCGAGUUCACACAUGAAAAUUCUGGGAAACAAGUGGCAGUAUCUGUGUAAGGUCUUUGGCCCAAAAAAGGCAUGAAGGAGAAUCAUACUUGGAAGAAUUUUUUCUUUUUUUUUUCUUUUAGAAAUCAAUGGGAGAGUGGAGCAAUUUCUCCAGUCGGACUUUGAAGAGCAGGGUUUCAGUUGUGAGAUGCAGAAAGUGUAUUCAAGAAAGCCAAUUCUCUACUAGCAACAAUACAACCAUUAGAGGCAUCCUUCCGUAUGUUUUCUCGAUUCUUUCUCUCUUAAUUUUGAUCCUUUGUAAACAAUGGCCUUGUAAAUUGCAAUAUCAUUAUGCUUAUGUAUUUGCAAUAUAUGUAUGCUUUGUGUGGAUGGAUUGUAUGAAUGAGAUUUGUGUAAGGACCAUGAGUUGAAGACUUUCUUUUGUGAGAUAUUUAGUUUAUGAACUUAGAUCUAAUGGUGUAUCAGCUAUUUGUGAGCUUGCAAGUGGAAAAAGGGGGAAAACAGAUUGAAUGCAAAAAAUGGCAAAAUGCAUGUGAUAUCGGAAUUUCAAUACCACAUAGUUUGUAUCGAUUAUGGUCUCGGAUAUUGUGAGAAAUGAAAAAUGUUUGUGAUAUCGUAUUUGGUAUCAGACUUGUCUGGUAUCAGAUUCGGUAUUAGAAGCUAGUUUUGGUUAUUACUUUGUGAUUGAGAUAUUAGAAGUCCUUUCUUUUUCUUGAGUGUAUCGGCUUUGGUAUCAGAUUUGGCAUUAGGAAUAGUAUCAGAACAGCUUUGUGCCAGGUAUCAGAAUUGCUUUUUUUUUUUUUUUUUUUUUUGUGUUUGGUAUUGGUUUUAGUAUCAAUAGUAUCGAACUUGUUUGGUAUCGAAUUUGGUAUCAGGACUGAUUUCAAAAUUGCUUUGUGCCUAGUAUGAGAAUUCCCUUUCUUUUGUGUUUGUCAUCAAUUUUGGUAUCAGACUCUUUCGGUUUCAAAUUUUGUAUCAAAAUAGAUAUCAAAAUUGCUUUGUGUCUGGUAUCAAAACUCCUUUCUUUUCUUUGUGUAGUAUCCAAUAUUAUAUUGGAAUACCGAUACCACAACCUGUGCUAUUGUUUUCAAGUUGUUCUGUGCUUCCUUGGAUUUGCUACUUGCAUGUUUUUUCAUUGGUUUAAAGUUGCUAGAAUUCAUUCUUGAUUUCAUCUUGGGAUUAUUUGCAUUAAGAAAUCUCUUGGUCAAUAAAUGAUUGUCUUCAAAAAUGGAUCUUGGGUCUUAUUCAUACAAUUCUCUCAUACACAUGUUCCUCUCAUUCUCUUUUUAUUAAUUUGCAAUCCACCAUGCCAUGUCGUUGGGGUUUCAUUGAUGCAUUGUAUUUCUUUUUGUUGGCAUUAUGUCUAUCGAUUAAUUAAUGAAAUGUCGAAGUUUCCUAUUUUGAGUUUAGUGGGGUGCUUAACACCUUCCCAUUGGAUAACUUAACCUCUGAACUCAUCCCUAAUUUGUUGAUUUUAUCUUUCUAUUUUGACAGUCACUUUAGAGUUUUUUUUUUAAUUUUUUUUCCCUUUUAAAGAAAAUAAAACAAGUGGCAACUCCAAACAGCAAUAAAAAUAGAUUUCAAAAUAAGCAUUUUCAAAUAAAAGGUUUGCCAUCACAUGGAAGCACCUAAAAAUACGGGUCAGAAUGUUAAAACUAUAACAAGACAAAACAAAAGAUAACUCUCUUUUUGGAGUUACUGUCACUGUGUCUUCAACAUAUAAAAUAAAAAAGAAAAAAGAAAAGUUCUUGUAUGAAGUCAUUCCUUAUCCACAUUCCUUAAAGUGCUCUCUUUAUAUCUUUUGUGUGCUUUAUCAACAAGAAUACAAAAUUUAAUUAGCAUACAUAAUAUUUUCAUUAAUCAUGUUUCUCACUUCGUUUGUAGCAGUGUUCAAUAUUCCUUUUUAAAUCUUUAAGGAGGCAUACUUGUCAUUUUUUUUUGGCAUUUUCUAAAACGAGAUUAGUUACUUUAUCAUCAUAUCUUGCCAAAAUCUUUAUCAUUUAAAUGAAAUUAUCCAAAUUUCUUAUUAUUGACAUUCAUCCCGACCUCUAAAAGCACAUGAUCAAAUUUUAACCGAUUAAAUAGAAUCAAUAGAGGUCUUAAGAUGUAAGCAAUUAUUCAAAAUCUAUUUGGAUAUUGAGGCAUUCAUCAUCUUGUUAAUAUGUCAGGAAUCAAUUCAUUUGAUCAUCACAACAUCAUACCUUGAUAUUAUGGGGUCAACGUGAAUUAGAAAAGCACAUUUCUUUCCAUUGUUUACUUUCUUCCUUAUAUCCAGAAGCAAGUGAACAAAAAUAAUGAAAAUGAAAAUGAGCAAGAAAGUAGACAUAGAAGAACACAAGAUUUAAUGUGGUUCUGCAAUAUGUCUACAUUCGCAGGGAGGAAAGAAAUUAAUUCACUAUACACAAAAGAGUAAUUACAAUCCUAAAACUCUUAAGUCCCAAGUCCCAAUUACAUCCAAUAUGACUCACCAUUUUAGUCAAAAUCUCUUCUUAUACACACCCAAAUGGAUUUUAAGAAUUCCUUUUUAAAUGGUGAUCUCAAAGAAGGCCCACAUGUAAUCUUCUCUUAGGCUACAACAUCCGUUGAGUCAAGUAUGUAGACUAUGUUUGUGCCUUGUAUGGCCUUAAGUAGGCACCUCAUGCUUUGAGAAGUUUAGUUUAGCAGUUCCUGGAUUUGGAUUUAUGCAAAGUCUAUAUGAUUCAGCUGUGUAUGUUUUUUUGAAACUCUAGUCAAGGCAUUGUGUUGUUACUUCUUUAUGUUGACAAUAUGGUGGUUAUAGGAAAUGAUACAGAUAGGAUUCAAGAUAUUGUAUUUGUAUCCCUACAUUACUUUCUUGGCAUUAAGGUAGACACAUCUCCCAGGGAGCAUAUUUUGUCUCAUAUCAAUAUGCAUAAGAUCUCAUUUGUCUAUUGUAUUGGCAAACAAUAAAGUUGUUGAUAUCCCAUUUGAGUUGAGUUCUAAGCUUUGUGCCGAUAAAACACAUUUUCCAAAUCCCACUUGUUAUAGGCAACCUUUUUUUUUUCUUUUUUUGAUAGAUAAUCACAUAAAAAAAGGCGCCUAAAGGGCAACCCAAAGCAUACAAGGAGUAUACAAGAGGCGCCUAAAGGCAAGAACAAAAAGAAGAGGGAAUACAAAAAACUCACCAGCCCUCAUUUAGAAUCCAACCAAUCAAAAAAGUUGAUUAAAGGUAAAGGUCCUACAUCUAUACAAGACUUAGAUCAAAACCAAAGAUUACAUACAAAUGAAUAUUUCAUCCUGUGAAUCGAGAGAUCCUCAUUUUCAAAAGCUAUCAUGUUUCUUUCCUUCCAAACCGACCAAAAUAAACAAAGAGGAACUGUCAUCCAAGCCUUUCUAUGUUUCUUGCUCACAAAGGAUCCAUGCCAACCUAAGAAUGUAUCUCUAGUCGAAAGCAGAAGGACCCACAUCACACCAAACAGUGCAAAAACAAGCUCCCACAAAACCCUAGCCUUGGAACAAUGGAUAAGAAUAUGAUUAAUUGACUUCUCUUCAGCAUAACAAAUGAAACAUAUGUUAGUUAUGGGCCACCCCCCUCCUUUUGAGUUGAUCCAAGGUCAGAACCUUCCCCCACGAUGCUUCCCAAGCAAAGAAACCCACCAUAGUGGGAACACAAGGGCUUCAAAUGAUGUUUCACGGAAACAGGACUGCACUUCUUGGUUCAAGAGUACUAUAAAGGGAUUUAACAGAAAAAUUCCCCUAUCCUCCAAGUCAAUGACUAGCCUCUUUCCUUGUAAAGUCAAAAGGAACCUCUCUACCACCUCCACCUCCCAAUCAUUGAAAGAUCUAGAGAACCGGGGAUUCUAUUCCCUCUCUUCCCCCAAAGAAUCCUAAUAGUCCGCUACCCACACAUCUUUUGAAUCCGCUAAAACGUACAAAGAAGGAAAAUAAUCACAAAGGGUAUUGUUCCGGCACCAUUUGUCCUUUCAAAAUCUCACUCUUCUACCGUCCCCCAUAGAAAAUACAAUAUUUUUAAACAUUAGGGAGCUUUCCUUCCAUAACCCCACCUCAUAGCCCUCCCUUACUUCACGGGUACACCAACCACCUUCUUGCACCCCAAACUUCCUACUAAUGACAAGCCUCCACAAAGACUCCCUUUCAACCGCAAAGCGCCAACUCCACUUGAACAAAAGGGCCCUAUUGAGAAUAGAAAGACUUUUAACACCCAAACCACUCUUCUUUUUAUUUGAACAAAUAAUUGCUCACUUUACAAGAUGAAGCUUCUUCUCCAAAGCUUCCCCAUCCCAAAGAAAGUUCCUUUGGAUUUGCUCUAGUCUCAAUCUAGCAACUCUUGGCAUAUGCAUCAAAGACAUGAGCUAAAUGGGCAUAGCUUUGUGCGGUGCACCCAAGAGGAGCCCCAAGUAAGUGGAAGGAAGUGCUCCCACUUUGCAGCCAAGUUCUAGGGCCAACAACUCUACAUUCUCCACACUCCCCAUCGGCAAAAUUUCACUCUUAUCCAAAUUGAUUCUCAGCCUUAAAAUGGCUUCAAACCACAUUAACAACCAACUUAAAAAAAUCAUAUGCUCCUGGGAGGCGUCACAGAAAACCAGCGUAUCAUUAGCGAAUAGCAGGUGAGUAAUUUGAACCCCAUCUCCACCUCUUCCCCUUAUUCUACAACCUAUUAAGAAUUCCCUCCCUCCCUCCCUUUGCUGCUCUAUUUAUGAGACAGCUUAAGGCCUCCAUCCCGAUCACAAAUAAAUAAGGUGAUAGAGGGUCCCCUUCCUCAGCCCGUUAGUGCUAUGGAAAAAACCCAUUGAUGAGUCAUUAAUCAAAAUGGAAUACGUUGCAGUGGAUAUACACCAACUAAUCCAGCCUGCCCAUUUCUCCCCAAAACCCAUUUUUUGCAUCACUAGCAACAAAAAAUUCCAAUUAAUAUGGUCAUAUGCCUUCUCUUUAUCCAUCUUACACAACACUCCACUUUCAUUCCUUUUCAGCAUAGAAUCUAUGGCCUCGUUAGCAAUUAAAGCAGUAUCAAGAAUUUGUCUUCCCUCAACAAAAGCAUUUUGGCACGAAGACACCACCUUUCCUUCCCACCACCUUCUUUAGUCUAUUAGCUAAAACCUUUGCUAGCAGCUUGUACAAUCCUCCCACCAAACUGAUGAGUCUAAAGUCUCUCAGAUCAUCUGCCCCUCCUUUUUUUGGAACUAAAACCAAGAUCGUGGUAUUCAAGCUCCUAACAAAUCUUCUCUUCUUAUGGAAUUCUUUGAAGAAACCCAUUACCUCAUCUUUUACGAAGCCCCAACAGAACUGCCAGAAAGCAAGAGGGAACCCAUCCAGACCUGAUGAACAACAGUCUAGAAUUAUUACACUAAACAUAUCAAAAUAUAGGCUGCAAAAAGAACCAUAUGAACCCUGGUAUACUUAUUUUUAUAGUGUAUGUCCUGAACUCUCUUGAACAUAUUCAGCAUUGGUGUGUCAAAUACCAGAGUGAUGAAUAAUUAACAACUACUAACCACAAUCUUUCUCAUAGCAAGAAAGAGAACGAAAGUUAUAAUGAGGUUUGAUUUGCUCUCAUGAAUAUUAUUGCAUUAGGCUCUGGGUAUGAUUUUGACUGGUAGUCCUUCAGUUGGUUCUGGUGUUGGAUUCCUGCUGAAAAAAUUGUUGGUGUGAUGUAACUUCCACUUGAAACGAGUAACCAAAUGAUGGAUGGCAACAAGGGUUUCUAUUCUUGCAAACUCAAUUCCUGGACAUAUCUGAGGGCCCCCUCCAAAUGGAAUGAAGCAGUAGGGGUGGGAUUGAUGCUUGGUUUUCAAAUUGUGUUGGAUCAAACUUUGUUGGUUCCGGGAAUAUGGUAUUGUCCAUGUGGGUCGUGCUUGUAGCCCAGAAUAUCUGCAUAUCAAAGAAAAGGGCAUCAGCCUUGCUUAAAUAGCGGGCAGAGUCCAAGCUAAAAUACUGUUACCAAGUUUACUUACCUUCCACCCUUUAGGGAUAAGGUAUCCACCAAAUUCAAUGUCUUUCAAUGCAGUUCUGAAGCCAGCAAAGAUGGGAGGAACCGUCCUCAGGGAGGAACCGUCCUCAGGGUUUCCAAUGCUACUCUCCAUGUGUAUUUCAUCUUUGCCAGGUCUUCCCAGGUUAGAAACUCGCCUGGGAGUUUGCCUGUUGCUAUCUCCUCAUGUUCUGAAAUCCAGUUACAAAAGGCAUCCCACUAUCAGUCCCUUUUGUUCAAUUAUAUUAUAUAUAUGGAACUAUAUAUACCAUUUUACCGCAGGACAGUUUGUUCCAAAGGAAAAUAGAUUCUUGAACAGGAUGGAUAUAUGUACUUAUAGAAAGUUUUAUUAACUUUGACCUCAUUAUGUUCUAUUAUUGUAAUCAAGUUUCCAUGCUUAUAACUUUUCAUACCUUGAAGAACAGCUGCAUACACAUCGAGAUCAUUAGCCAGAACCCGCACCAGGAAGUGCAGUCAUAAUAAGCAAAACAUUGUGUAUGAUCUCUUUAUCAGAUAUUACAGCCUCGUUGGUUUCACCACGAAUGCUGAGCAAGCAAGUGAUGAGAUCUUGAUGAGGCCAAGCACCUUUCUCAAGCUCCUCCCUCUCACAUAUAAGCUCCUUUAUCAUUGGACCUUUGCACUUGCUCGGAGACUGCGGUUGUAGCUUGUGAAAGGCAAGUUAAGUGGGACAACAUCCUGGAAUCUGGCCACGAGUUUCUCUUAGGAUUUCUUGCUCUUAUCCCAAAUAGAAGACAACAAAUGAUGUUGAAUGUGAGGGUCACAUCAGGGGCAACACCUAUCAGCCAUACAGGUGAGGUUUCUGAAAAUUCCAUAGUAAUACUUAUGCAAAAGGACUACUGCUUACGAAUAUUCUUGCAAGGUUGAUGGGAGUGUUUGAUAAAUAGCAUGUACCGUGACGUUUUGCUUGCCUUGCCAAUGCAUCUCAAGAUGCUUCCUGACCUCCGCAUCCAUCUUUCCCACAUACUGCUUCAAGGAUUCUGGUUUUAGGAAUGAUGAAAGAGCAUCCCUGACACACUUAUGAUCUUCUCCGCUCAGCUCCAGCAAGUUUCGGUCACCCAGUAUCAUCUGAUUGGACCUUGCUUGCUGGUUCGAAAGUGCUAAGCGUCAACUAUGGAGGGCCCAUAAGGCUCAAUCCCAACAUACCAAAGUUUCCUAAUAACUAAGAUGCAUUUGGAAAUCAAGUCUAAGAUUUAAAUCCAGCAUACAAACAAUGGAAUGGAGAGGAUCAGUUGUUGUUAAGUUAGUUGCUCUCGUCUUUGUCGAUGACAACAAUUCUUAGCCAAGUGGUUUGAUGCAAUACUUCACACUAGCUUUGGACUGAUUUAGAGCAUCCAUAUUCAUCACGAUCUAAGGCAAAAUUGUUGUAAAUGAAGAUAUAACUACAAGCUUUUAUGAAUGAUUAUUUUGUGAAAAUGGAAAAUAUAUUAGAUCAAUGUGUUGUUGGUUACUUUGUAAGCAAGGAAGGUUUGGUGAUUUAUAUGCUUGUUGGACUUGGAUUUGCGUAUGAUCCAAUCGUUUAUAACAUUAUGACUUGUGGAACGAUGGAUUAACUUUCUCUCAAGGAGGUUUAAGUGCUUCUACUGAAUCGAGAAUGUACACUUGAGCAACUAAUGAUGCAGUGGAGAGCUUCAAAAUCCUUCUACGAAUUUUGUCAACAAGAAUGGCAGCAGCGAUGGUCGUGACAAAGGCAACUUUGAUCCAUGAGGAGAUCACAAUAACUUCUGCUUUCUUCGUCCUGGACCUAGUGUUGGAAAUAACAGGCCUGUUUUCUAGAUUUGUGACAAACAAGGUCAUAUAAUCUUUAACUAUUGGCAUUAUGAUCUAGAUGAGAACCUUUUGACUUUACUUUUGCAAACUCUAAAUGUCUAUAACACCAAGGCUCAACCUACUACUUUGAUGACUAUACCGGAGACUAUUCUUGAUCCUAGUUGGUAUAUUGAUAAUGGUGCAACAAACCACGUGGUUACCACCUUGGAUAAUAGUACAAUGAAAACAUAAUGUGGAGGCUAAGAUAAAUUUAUAGUUGGAAAUGGUAAGUAACACAUUUCUCCUCCCCUCUUUGUCUUGAAAAUGUCUACAUGUUCCCCAAAUUAUCAAAAAGUCUAGUUAAGAUUUUCCAACUUAAAGAAGAUAACAAAGCUUUUGUGGAAUUUCAUGCUAAUUAUUUUCUUGUGAAGGACAAAAUUAUGAGAACCAUUCUACUUCAAGGGAAGUUUAAAGAUUGUCUUUACUUGAUGGAUAAUCCGCGACCCAAGGUUAAUUCUUAGUCUAAACUCAUCAAACCAUUGUUAAAUUUUGUUGCUAGUUGCAAUUUAUUUUGUUUCCCACUUAUGUUAAGAAUGAUUGUAUUUAAUUCAGUUUGUCUUUAUGUUUCUACAUCUUUAAAUUUCAUUGCAUGGCAUCAAAGGCUUGACCACCCUUCUGUUAAGGUUCUUAGUCAAGUCUUAAAGUUGUGUAAUUCUUUACUAAAUAAGAGUCUUGAAUUUUGCAAUGCUUCUUAAUAUGGGCAAAGCCAUGUACUUCCCUUCUCUGUUGUUGAGACCAAAACCGCUUUACCUUUAGAAAUCAUGUGCUCUAGCAUUUGGGGGGCAACACCAAUUCCUAGAACUCCUGGUAAUAGAUAUUAUAUUCAUUUUGUUGAUGACUAUACCAAUUUCACAUGGAUUUGUCUUCUCAAACAAAGAUCUGAAGUCAUUGUUACUUUUAAACAGUUCAAAAUUGUUAUUGAAAAAUCAUUGAACAAGUCCAUACAAUGUGUUCAAAUUGAUUAGGGUAUUAGGAAGGUUUAAUCACAUUAUGUACCACCUAUUCACUUGAUAAAUUGUUGAAUGAAUAUUCUCAUAUAUCACAAGGGUAUUUAUACAAAGUAUACAAGGUUACUUUAGGAUAACCAACUAUACAAAAGAAAUAAUAACUCACAAUCGGUUGUACAUAGUUGUACAUCAUAGCUAUAUGUACAAUUGUACAUACACACAGAUGUACAUAGUUAUAAGGACAACUAUGGACCUCUUGUACACAAAUGACUUAUUCAUCUCUAUCUUUAGAAGAGGUGAGGAUUGGCAUGAGAUGGGCCUUAUGCCAUUACAAAGGGGCGUUCGAGAGCAUUCCCUAAUUUGAUUAAAGAAGUUUUUGUCAAGUUCCCUCAUGGGUUUAUGUGUAAAAGAAAAUGCCAAGCCAAAAGGCAAAACUUCUAUUGCCUAAGUUCGUUUUAGAUGGAUUGCUUAGUUAUCUCUAGUUCUAGAUCAUAUAGGGUGCAUGCAUCUAAUCCUAGGCUCUCUAGAUUUAACAUGACAAACAAAAUCAUAUUAUGACAUGAAUCUAGAGAUAGAAAACCCAUACACGUGAUUUAAAUGUUCCCAUAACAAUUCCAAUCCACAGAAGAUGUCGAAGAUGUUGUAAAACUCGUUUAUCUAAUAAUCUUACAAUUGAUUUCUCCUUUCACAGGCCUUGACACAAGAAAAGGGUAAAUUUAUCUCUCUCUCUCUCUCUCUCUCUCUCUCUCUCUCAAGUGGCUAGAGUUUCUCUCUAGAAAAACUCUAUUUAAAAUACAAUAGGUAAAAGUCUGAAGCCCUAACCCUUAAAGAAGUGUUUAUAGGUUUUCCUGUAAACUUAAGUGACUUGAGCUUAAAUUAGACUUGGUUCACUUAAUCUAACCCACUUGGAUUUAGAGGGCUCCAAUUAAUUAAUUAGUUCAAUUCAAAAAGUCCAUUCAUAAGAUCUAGUACAACCUUGUUUUUUUACCAAAACACUUUUAUGCAUACUUAUAAACUAUAAACCCAAAAUCCUUUAAAUAAACUUGUCACCAUGAAAUAGGAACUUGAGUGAGGACCACUAGGACUCAUAGGAAAAUAUUUGCUCUCUCAUAAUUCAAUUAUGAAGUUGACUCAACACUCUACUAAAGAGAGUUGACUACACUUCAAUAUCCUAUGUAAUUAUAACGAGGCAAAGCACGGAUCUAAGACUUACUAUCCAUUUCAUGCAAAUUCCCCAUGAAUUAGUAUUCAUAAUCUAAUGAGUUAUUACUAUCAACCUUUUAAGGUUACCUUGCCAAUUCUUGAAUUACAAAUCCUCUUAUUAUGUAAUCAAUUGGCAUACUCUAACUUUCAAAGAACAUACAUCAAAUUCCACUAACCAAAUUAAUAUGACCAUAGUCAUCCUAAUCACAUGUCCUUAUGAUCACCCAAAGGGACACAUUAUGUCAAUCCUAUAAGAUAUUACGAUGCUUCUAUUGAGAAUAUUUAUUGUCACCAACCUCCAUUAAUAGUGAUCUAAUCUGUGGGGAAUAUGUGACCACCUUAAGAUCUCACCCAUAGAGCAAAGUCUUCUACUGAUUUUAGUAUAGACUCAAUAUCCUCUCAAUGUUGAGAAUCCAUGCAAUAUAAUAAAUAGGUAAAUUGUGACUAACCGAUAACCAAUAUGAUAAUUCACUAUAGGUCUUAUUUAAUGUAUAAUCACACACACUAAUGCACUUACCAUGGGAAAACCAUCAUGAUGUUAAGUACUUCCUGGAACCAAAUAUAACAUUAGAAUACUAAGGACUUGUACUAUAUAUGAACUCUAACUCAAUUCAGAUAGAGAUCAUAGUAGGUUGUUUGGUAUGGAAAACAUUGUGACCUUUUAUUUUUUUAAUAUGAUUUACAUGAUAAAAGAAGAAUGUUGAGCAGAUAGGAUGUAUUUUCCCCAAUCCUUUCUUUGUACUUGGAAAUAUUUGGGUUAAAUCUACUUCAGAUAUUAAGAUUUUUUUGGAGUUAUCAUUGUCAUAUGAAAAGAUUAACAGAGUUUGUAGUUAUCAUUAUAGUUUGAAGUUCGGAGAUGCUCUUUCACAUCUUAUAUUAGUGCUUUUUGUCUUGAUCUCUAGUAAAUGAGUGUAUAUAUUUGUGUGAAUUGCUAGUAUGAAGCUGCAGUUAUUGUACUAGACAUAUGAAUAGGCUGCAAACAAAACGAUGCGAACCCGCUAUUCUUAUUUUUAUAGCAUAUAUAUUCUGGACUCUGUUCAACUUAUUUUGCAUUGGUAUGUCCAAUGCCACGGUGAUGAGUAAUUAACAACAACUGACCACAAUCUUUUUCAUAGCAAAAGAGACAAUAAGAGUCAUACUCUGGUUUGAUUUGCUCUCAUCCAUAUUGCUUUAGGCUCUGGGUAUGAUUUCGAUUGGCAGUCCUUCAGUUGGUUCUGGCAUUGGAUUCCUGCUGAAAAAGUUGUCAUUGUGACAUAACUUCCACUUGAACCUGGUAACCAGAUGAUGGAUGGCAAC
This 11558-nucleotide long non-coding RNA is filed under the name Vitis vinifera (wine grape). RNAcentral describes it as "long non-coding RNA (VVIN_LNC006482)". The record is from RNAcentral. Lineage: Eukaryota; Viridiplantae; Streptophyta; Magnoliopsida; Vitales; Vitaceae.